UACGUAGGUGUCGAGCGUUGUCCGGAUUUAUUGGGCGUAAAGCGCCCGCAGGCGGCUCGGCAAGUUCGAGGUGAAAUCUCCCGGCUCAACUGGGAGGGUGCCUCGAAAACUGCCAGGCUUGAGGCAGGGAGAGGGAUGUGGAAUUCCCGGUGUAGUGGUGAAAUGCGUAGAUAUCUGCAGGAACACCCGUGGCGAAGGCGGCUGGCUGGACCGCAACUGACACUGAGGAACGAAAGCUAGGGGAGCAAACAGG
RNAcentral lists this ribosomal RNA (253 nucleotides) under uncultured prokaryote. RNAcentral's name for it is "partial 16S ribosomal RNA". It matches the Rfam family "Bacterial small subunit ribosomal RNA", at positions 524 to 776 of the family's 1533-position model. The record is from RNAcentral.